UGGGGAAUAUUGCGCAAUGGGCGAAAGCCUGACGCAGCGACGCCGCGUGGGUGAUGAAGUUCUUCGGAACGUAAAACCCUGUCAGGAGGGACGAAGAUCUGACGGUACCUCCAAAGGAAGCCCCGGCUAACUCCGUGCCAGCAGCCGCGGUAAUACGGGGGGGGCGAGCGUUAUUCGGAAUCACUGGGUGUAAAGGGCGCGUAGGUGGCCAAGCAGGUCAGGUGUGAAAUCCCUCGGCUUAACUGAGGAACUGCGCUUGAAACCGCAUGGCUAGAGUACAGGAGAGGUGGGCGGAAUUCCCGGUGUAGCGGUGAAAUGCGUAGAUAUCGGGAAGAACAUCGGUGGCGAAGGCGGCUCACUGGACUGUAACUGACGCUGAGGCGCGAAAGCGUGGGGAGCGAACGGG
Molecule: ribosomal RNA, 406 nt
Filed under: uncultured bacterium
Lineage: Bacteria
Description: bacterial SSU rRNA
Rfam family: Bacterial small subunit ribosomal RNA
Source: RNAcentral